UUAUUAUAUGAAAGGACGGAAGGAUAACUCUCUCUUAACAAGGAUGAAAGUAGAUCUAGUAGCCAUUACAUCAUACAUAUGGUUAAGACAUUGCUGCCUACUCUUGGUCAUUUAACCAUGUUUUCCU
Molecule: small nuclear RNA, 127 nt
Organism: Vombatus ursinus (common wombat)
Lineage: Eukaryota; Metazoa; Chordata; Mammalia; Diprotodontia; Vombatidae
Source: Ensembl